Molecule: ribosomal RNA, 106 nt
Organism: Cavia porcellus (domestic guinea pig)
Lineage: Eukaryota; Metazoa; Chordata; Mammalia; Rodentia; Caviidae
Source: Rfam
UUCUAUAACUAUACCACCCUGAAUGCCCCCUAUCUCCUCUGAUCUUGGAAGGUAAGCAAGGUUGGGCCUGAUUAGUACUUGGAGGGGAGUUCCAAUUUUUCAGUCC